Molecule: non-coding RNA, 61 nt
Filed under: Sus scrofa (pig)
Lineage: Eukaryota; Metazoa; Chordata; Mammalia; Artiodactyla; Suidae
Source: RNAcentral
GGCUCUGAGCGCCCCUCCUCGUCCGUCCCCUCCAGCUGGAGAGGAGCCGCGACAGAGCCGG